This 48-nucleotide non-coding RNA is filed under the name Trichobilharzia regenti. The record is from RNAcentral. Lineage: Eukaryota; Metazoa; Platyhelminthes; Trematoda; Strigeidida; Schistosomatidae.
AUCCAGCUGACAACGAGUCCCGAAUAGAACGAAAUGCGCAUCCUGGAU